UCAGGCGAUCCAAGGAUUUGCUUGUUGCCGCUACCUGCAAUCUACUGUCGUUCCCCCUCCUGGUUGAUCUGCUGGUACUUCACCCCUUGUCCAGGUAUUUCCUGAGGCAAAGCUUAUAUCAUAACAAAGGAGUAAAAGAAGAGGGCUUUCUGGUCCCGGAAGAGACUUUCAAGGUCGUCGGGAGAAAACAGCAAGCUCUUUGGAAGCAGGCACACUGACAGGUGGUCAGAUGGGGCACUCGGCUUAUUUCCUGAAAUUACUCUGAGCUCUCAAAGCUGAUACUGAUCUGGAAGUUCCUGCAUGCCCUGAACACCCAAACCACAAAGGGCGAGUGGAAAGAGGUUCCAUGGGAUUAUCCUAAUGGGAUUUUCACGGCCCUUGAUAACGAGCAAGUUGAAAUGCAAGAGCUUCACAAGGUCUCAGGAAAGACAAAGAAUCAUAAAGCUGGAAAGAGUAUGGAUGGUCACCCUCACUUCAAAAUGGACCAGAGGAAUUACCCCGCCUCGUUCAUUCUUUUAGCCCAUUUUAAAGUUCAAAGUCCUUUUUGGUAAUUUCCCCCAGAGGCUCGCUUCCAUUCCACAUUUUAAGUCUCACUAGAAAUGUUUCCUUUAACAAUCUAUGUCCAAGCUAUGCCACUUUAUGUAUGGAAAUCAUGGGUAAAAUGACAAAUUUUGUGGACAAAAAAUCAGGAUAUGUGGUCCAGCUGAAUAUGUUUCUGAUUUAUGGCUUCAAUUCUGAAUAAAUAAAAUGUGAUUCUCUGCUUAA
Molecule: long non-coding RNA, 765 nt
Organism: Phacochoerus africanus (Common warthog)
Lineage: Eukaryota; Metazoa; Chordata; Mammalia; Artiodactyla; Suidae
Exons: 3
Source: RefSeq, a predicted model, not a curated record